Varanus komodoensis (Komodo dragon) is the source of this 397-nucleotide long non-coding RNA. RefSeq lists it as uncharacterized. The transcript has 2 exons. NCBI's taxonomy places the organism in Eukaryota, Metazoa, Chordata, Lepidosauria, Squamata, Varanidae. The record is from RefSeq and is a predicted model, not a curated record.
AGGCACGACCCUGCAGAGCGCACGGUGGCAGCCAGUGAUUUAAUGGAGGGGAUGAGCUACCUUCCCCAAGUUCACAUGCGAGGCAGGCAAAAAAUGCUGCCGUUUUUCCGGAGAGCACCAGAAGAGGAGCUCUGAGUAACUGUGGAAGGCCAAGCUGCAACUGGACGGCCACCGGCGAGGGAAGGUUUAAUUCUGUACUGCACUCAGCAGGGGGCUGGACCUGAUGGCCCUCUGGCCCCUUCCAGCUCGACUUUUCUAUGCUUCUACAAGUUGCUGUGGUCACAGGACCUGGACUGGAUGGAAAGUGGAGCUGGCCAGAGAGCCCUAUGGGCCGUGGAGCGGCAUACACAUGUAACAACAACGGAUUCCAUAAAUGGGGUGCCACAAUCGAAAAGGC